AUGAAAAAAGGUGCCGUCAUUGACCAGGAGCUUCCAUACAUCUACGAGGGGAAAAGUGUUCAAAACAUGAUGGAGAUCUUCAAUCCCACAAUGACCCUACAAAGUACAAGAUGUACUCAAAAAAAAAAAAAAAGGAUCAGAUUGUUCAUGGCCUCAUCCAGCCUGCCUUUGAACACCUCCAGAGACGGGGCAUCUACAACUUCUCUUGGCAACCUGUUCCAGUGACUCACUACCCUUACAGUGAAGAAUUUUGACGUAAUGUGUAGUCUAAACGUGGGGAUCCCCCCACAUGGGGAUGGAGAGCUCUUGAGCUCUAAAAAAAAUCCUUGAAGAGUUGCCAGCUCUGAUCAGAUCUUCUUUCCCUAAGGACAGUGUCCCACAGGAUCUCAUCCACUAAUUCUUUGUAUAACUGGAAGUUCACUCUUAUAAAGUUGAGGGUUCUGAAUUUGCUCUUUGCCAGGCCCACAUCCCUUGAGAUCACAAAUUCAACCAGGGUGUGGUCACUGCAACCCAGACUGCCUUCAAUCUUAACCUCUUUAAUGAGGUCAUCCACAUUGGUGAGCACCAGGUUCAGAAACACUUCUCCUCUAGUUGGUUUGUCUAAUACCUGGAUGAGGAAGCUGGCCUUAAUGCACUCAAGGAGUCUCCUGGAUUGUUUACUGCCUGCUGUGUAGCUUUCUUGGCAGACAUGUGUGAUUGAAAUCCCCCAGCAGGAUGAGAGCCUGUUAGCACAAUGCUUUUUGUAUUUAGAACUACAAGGCUUCAUCAAAAGGCUGCCCUUGAUCAGGUGGCCUGUAGUAGACCCCAACCACAAGAUGCCCUUUAUUGGUCUGAUGCUUAAUUUUUACCCACAUAUUCUCAACCUGCUCAUGGCUGUUUCUCAGCGGUAACUCUUCACAAUCUACCAAUUUCUUAACAUAAAGGGCAACUCCCCCACCCUUCCUUCCCUGACCAUCCCUCCUGUAAAGCUUGUAGCCCUCCAUUCCAGUGUUCCAGUUGUGUGAUUCGUCCCACCACACUUCCAUGAUAGCAAUUAGAUCAUAGUUUUCUAACUGCACUAUGGCUUCCAACUCCUGCUUAUUCCCCAUGCUGUGUGCAUUGGUGUAGAGGCCAACUUGAAGUUCCACACAGUCUAGCCCCUCCUUCAUAUACAUUGCCACUCCCCCGACCUCACCUACCCUGCCUGUCCCUCCUGAAGAGCCUGUAAUCAUCUAUUGUGACACAC
Molecule: long non-coding RNA, 1225 nt
Filed under: Anas platyrhynchos platyrhynchos (common mallard)
Lineage: Eukaryota; Metazoa; Chordata; Aves; Anseriformes; Anatidae
Description: lncRNA (ENSAPLG00000030507.1)
Source: RNAcentral